RNAcentral lists this ribosomal RNA (715 nucleotides) under Bacillus cereus. Its description in RNAcentral is "bacterial SSU rRNA". It matches the Rfam family "Bacterial small subunit ribosomal RNA", at positions 60 to 755 of the family's 1533-position model. RNAcentral also lists the same sequence under 1 other name. Lineage: Bacteria; Bacillati; Bacillota; Bacilli; Caryophanales; Bacillaceae. The record is from RNAcentral.
AGUCGAGCGAAUGGAUUAAGAGCUUGCUCUUAUGAAGUUAGCGGCGGACGGGUGAGUAACACGUGGGUAACCUGCCCAUAAGACUGGGAUAACUCCGGGAAACCGGGGCUAAUACCGGAUAACAUUUUGAACCGCAUGGUUCGAAAUUGAAAGGCGGCUUCGGCUGUCACUUAUGGAUGGACCCGCGUCGCAUUAGCUAGUUGGUGAGGUAACGGCUCACCAAGGCAACGAUGCGUAGCCGACCUGAGAGGGUGAUCGGCCACACUGGGACUGAGACACGGCCCAGACUCCUACGGGAGGCAGCAGUAGGGAAUCUUCCGCAAUGGACGAAAGUCUGACGGAGCAACGCCGCGUGAGUGAUGAAGGCUUUCGGGUCGUAAAACUCUGUUGUUAGGGAAGAACAAGUGCUAGUUGAAUAAGCUGGCACCUUGACGGUACCUAACCAGAAAGCCACGGCUAACUACGUGCCAGCAGCCGCGGUAAUACGUAGGUGGCAAGCGUUAUCCGGAAUUAUUGGGCGUAAAGCGCGCGCAGGUGGUUUCUUAAGUCUGAUGUGAAAGCCCACGGCUCAACCGUGGAGGGUCAUUGGAAACUGGGAGACUUGAGUGCAGAAGAGGAAAGUGGAAUUCCAUGUGUAGCGGUGAAAUGCGUAGAGAUAUGGAGGAACACCAGUGGCGAAGGCGACUUUCUGGUCUGUAACUGACACUGAGGCGCG